UGUUUUGGAAAAGUGGAUUUAACUGUCAAAAGAGGGACUGAUACCAAAUAAAAUUAAAAUGGAGUGUCUUAUAAUUGUGAUCAGAGAUUUUUGAUUUGCUGUCAUGGCAUCUGAGGAUAGUGUAACGUUUAUUCAAAAUGAUCUAGCUACCUCUUCGUUCCCUAUUUUUGAAGAUAUAAAAUGCGCUGGAAAGCUUUGUGAUGUGAUUCUGAAGGUUGAAGAUCAGUGCUUUUAUGCCCAUAGGGUUAUUUUAGCUGGCACCAUACCAUACUUUCAUGCUAUGUUUACCCAUGAUAUGGUUGAAAGUACAAAGAAUGAAAUAACUAUCAAAGAAAUAGAUCCUGAUGCAUUGGAAUUACUGAUCAAUUUUGCAUAUAGUGGGAAAGUUCAAAUAACCACAUCAAAUGUCCAGUCUUUACUUGUUGGUUCUUCUUUUCUUCAGCUUAGUAAAGUUAGAGAUGCUUGUUGUGAAUUUUUAAAGAAAAGACUGCAUCCUAACAAUGCCUUGGGUAUUCGUUCCUUUGCUGAUGUACUUGAUUGUUCAACUCUUGUUGAAGCAACUAAUCGUUUCAUUCAAAAGCAUUUUAUUGAAGUUGCUCGCUCUGAAGAAUUUAUGAACUUGCCUUUCAUAGAUGUCAAAGAGAUAAUAAGUAGAGAUGAACUGCAUAUCACUAAUGAAGAGCAGGUUUUUGAAGCUGUCAUGGCAUGGGUGAAAUUUGAUCUUUCCAGGCAAAGUUAUUUACCUGAAUUAUUAACUCAAGUACGCAUGCCUUUGCUAACUCCACAGUAUUUGACUGAUCAUGUUGCAACUGAAGAACUGAUUCGAACAUCUCAUCAAUGUAGAGAUCUGUUAGAUGAGGCAAAAGAUUAUCAUCUGAUGCCUGAACGGAGACCUUUAUUGCAGAGUUUUCGAACAAGGCCUCGAUGCUGUCCAGAUAUUGUUGGAUGUAUCUAUGCUGUUGGAGGUCUCACAAAAUCAGGUGACUCAUUGAGUACUGUUGAAGUAUUUGAUCCUAAAGUGGGUAGGUGGCAGUUGUCUGAAGCUAUGACAAUGCUGAGAAGUAGAGUUGGAGUUGCUGUGAUGCAUAACAAAUUAUAUGCUAUCGGUGGUUACAAUGGAUCUGAGCGAUUGAGUACUGUAGAAGUCUUUGAUCCAGAAGCACGUACUUGGAGUACAGCUGCAUCUAUGAAUUGUAAACGAAGUGCUGUAGGAGCAGCUACUUUGUUUAAUAAACUGUAUGUGUGUGGUGGAUAUGAUGGUAUCUCUUCUUUAAACACAGUAGAAUGUUAUGAUCCAGAGAAAAAUGAGUGGAGUAUGGUCACAAGUAUGUCCAAACACAGAAGUGCUGCUGGGGUUGUUGCUUUUGAAGACCACAUCUAUGCUCUAGGUGGACAUGAUGGGCUUUCUAUCUUUGAUUCGGUGGAAAGAUACGACCCUCACUCCGGCCAAUGGAUAGCUAUGCCACCUAUGUUAAGCAAAAGAUGUAGACUUGGAGUUGCAACUCUUAAUGGGAAAAUAUAUGUUUGUGGAGGUUAUGAUGGCUCUACUUUCCUACUCACUGCUGAGGUUUAUAAUCCUGCAACUAAACAGUGGACAUAUAUUGCCCCAAUGAAUGUUAUGCGGAGUAGAGUUGCUUUGGUUGCAAACUGUGGUAAAUUGUAUGCAAUUGGUGGCUAUGAUGGUGUCACAAACCUCAGUACAGUUGAAAUCUAUAAUCCAGAAAGUAACCGGUGGGAUUUUGUUCCAUCCAUGUGUGCGCAUGAGGGUGGUGUGGGUGUUGGAGUGAUUCCAUCCUUAUAGAAAAUUCCUUAGUUUAAUAUUGUUUAAAAUUUGACAUUUUGCCUUUUAAUGAUAGUUUUUCAAAAGGGAGCAAAUUAUUAAAUUUUAUUUAUUAUUAUUAGAAAUUUGUAUGUAUUAUUUUAUGCAUAACUUUUGCCAUAGUAAACUUGAUUAUGAAGCAGUUGUAGUAAUGGAUGUAUCUGUUCCAAGUGUACUGUGUUAAAAUGGGCUAAGUGCAAUGUUUCAUAUUCAUUGGAAAAUCAAUAUCAAUCUUUCAAGUAAUUAUCAUAUACUUUUUACAUGAAUUUCUUAAUUAUGUGUUAUUAGAUUUAUUUGUUAUUUAUUUUAUUUCAUUUCACCAAAAUUAAAACAUUUUGAAUAAUUUUUAAUUGCAUUUCACAAAGAUUAAGAUGCAUUUGAAUUGGCUUAAAUUAGUUCUUGAAUUGUACUUAUAAUUAGAACAUUUUAAAUAAAAAAAUAAUAAAUGAAAUAGGAGAAAGUUAGGAAAAUGAGACUUCUUCAAAUUAAAUUAAAAUCUUAUAAGAUUAAAUAAUAUUGUUGCGUGCAUUCGGGUUCAUAAUAGAUUGAAUGCAUGCGGGUCCGAUUAUAGAUUAACAAAAUAUAUUUUUAUCAAAAGAAGUAUUUCAGAGUUCUGGAAUUUUCCACGGAAAUAUUUGUCAGGUAUUCACAGUAUAUCACACAGUGCAGUUAGUAGUUAAAUUCAAACUACUAAGAACAUUAAACACAAUGCAAUGCAAAGCGCAUGUAAAGAGAAAGCUAACGGAGAUAUCUCAGUUCACGCUGAACUAACAACUCACAACAACAAUAAUUAAACAACUAACUGAAUGUAGAUGCUCUCUUUCUAGCCUUAAAUAGUUUUAAACUAGCCAACGAGAUAGUUCCAGUACUUUUUGCUUCUUGAAAUUAUUGGAAAGCAAUAUGAGGGUCGAAUUACGGUUACAGCUAGCAUAGUGAUCAAUUACCUUUAUUCAAUUUCAGUACAUAUUACGGUGAUAUAGGGACCAGAAUUUGGCGAUUGUCGCCAAAACCAUCGUCAGCUUGGCGAUAUCUCACCAAUUACUAAGAAACACAUUUAUUUAAUGUUAAAUGGACUUGCCCCUGUAUUCUUACUUUUCUGGGUUAGCUUUUCCCUUCAGAUUUUUUGUGUUACAUUGCACAGCAAAAUACGACAAUUUCACAUAUAACUGCACUGAAAUCAUCUAUCUUUGUACAAUAUUUUUAACAAUAUUUAGUUUCACUUUAUUUUAAAUUUCAAUAAAUUAUUUUCAAUUAUCAAAAUGCUGUGAGAAUUUUCCUUUAGUUUGUCAUCUUAAUUUAUUUUUUUUUUUACAUGUUUAAUUUAUUUUUAGAAGUUGUCUAAAUCUCCCUUUAUUAUUAAACAUGUGAAUUAUUAAACAGUUAAUUAAAAAUAUUCUUAUAAGGAAGGUCUUUCAGUCUUGAACUCUCAGUAUUAAAAAUAUAUAUAUGCAGAUUUGCUUAUGAAAAAUAUGCAAUCCUAAAUACAAUGAUAAAAAGUAAUUGCUUCAAGGCUUUAAAUGAGUAGAUGACCCAAAAGUGGGUGAAGAAUAUUCGCAUGCUAUGGUAUAUUUAAUUUUCUGAAAUUUCAAAAUACGGUUUUCUGAACUCCCAGUGAGUGAUUUAGUUUCAAAAUCAAAACAUAAAACAAAUGGAUUCAUGUAGAAUCUUAAUUUGCAUCUAUCUAUUUAUUUAUUAUUUUUGUAUAUUCAUUUAUUAUUUUUUUAUUACAAAUUUCAUUUAAAAGUUUAUGCAUGUAUAAAAUUUAUUACUUAUGAUUAUGAACAUACUUGUUUCCCAUCAGUGUUUCAUCAUGCUUCUCAAAUAGUUUAAACAAAGAAUUUUACUUUUCCUUAUACAGAUUAAUCAAUCAAACUUAACAAAAAGGAAGAAAAAUUAAUGUUUGGAAAAUGACCAGAACUUAGGGAAUUCUGAAUACCAUAGUAUUAAAAGAAAAUGUGUAAUGCUGUUUUUGUUUUGCUCAAACAUGCAUAUUUCAUACAAUAAUCAUUUUGGUUAUUGCAGGUGUGCAUGAUGAUGUAUAACUGUGAAAAAAUAAUCAAAACUGUAGAAUAAAAAUAUCAAGUUGAAAAUGCAGUAUAGAAGAAUAAAUAUCUGAUGGCAGCGGUGGCAUAAAAGGUGAAACCAGUGUUUAUUUAAAAGAAAAGAAAAUACAGUACUUAGUUAAGAAUUAUAAUUGGGAGAAUUCACCCAUAGAAUUCAUAUAACACUUCAAGUU
This 4055-nucleotide unclassified non-coding RNA is filed under the name Stegodyphus dumicola. RNAcentral's name for it is "kelch-like protein 18, transcript variant X1". Lineage: Eukaryota; Metazoa; Arthropoda; Arachnida; Araneae; Eresidae. The record is from RNAcentral.